GACAGAGGGGGCAAGCGUUGCUCGGAAUCACUGGGCGUAAAGGGCGCGUAGGCGGGAUGGCAAGUCGGUCGUGAAAUCCUUCGGCUCAACCGAAGAACGUCGGCCGAUACUGCCGUUCUUGAGGGAUGCAGAGGAAAUUGGAAUUCCCGGUGUAGCGGUGAAAUGUGUAGAGAUCGGGAGGAACACCGGUGGCGAAGGCGGGUCUCUGGGCAUCUCCUGACGCUGAGGCGCGAAAGCGUGGGGAGCAAACGGG
This 253-nucleotide ribosomal RNA is filed under the name uncultured bacterium. Its description in RNAcentral is "partial 16S ribosomal RNA". It matches the Rfam family "Bacterial small subunit ribosomal RNA", at positions 524 to 776 of the family's 1533-position model. The record is from RNAcentral.